AAAGCGUUCAGAGAAAGGCUCAAGAAAAAACUUGAGCCUUUCUGCUUUUACUUAAUCAUAGUGAUUUUGAAUAAAAACUGAUGAAGAGAUUUUGUCUUGCUCAGCAUCUUAUUUUACCUCAAAAUCCUUUUUUUUUUUUUUUUUUUUUUUACACCUCAAACAAAGUCAAAUACAUUUUUGUUAUUUUAUUUCUCAUUUAUUUUAAUAUAUUGUGUAGGACCAGAUCCUAAACCCUGAUUGUAGCUCUUCAUAAUAAAGUGGCAAGACUGAUUCUACCAUUCCCACUCUGAAUGCCCAUGCCCAUGAACAGCACUGGGCAGUGGUGAGGGACAGAAAACUGCAGAGCCAAACUUGCUUUCCCUUUAUGCGACUGAGUCACGACCCAGCGUGCAUGGACCUCCACAGGACAAACAAAAUCCACAGGGAGAAGUCCAAACCAGCAGACAGCAUAUGUGUCAACACUCACAAGGCUGGUUCCUGACAAAAUACCUCCUUAAAUAAGUGACUUAACAAAACUCUCAAUUUUAUACAGAAAACAACGGGCAUAAAAUCUUGUAGAAUAGUCAGCGUAGUGAGAUCUACUGUGCAGUGCAGAGUGUGACUAACAGAGAUGUCUGCACAGACUGCGAGGAAACAAAGUAUAAAUAAAAUCGCUUGACUGAAAAAGAAAGACUUGAAAGCAAGAACUUUAUAUGGAGAAAGCCACUGUGAUUUCCUACUUUAUCUUAAUAUGCGAGCUUGUUAAAAAUGGAGAAGUUAAAUUAUAUCACUGACUCUCCUCCUAUUGGGACAGGAUUUUCCCCCUUCCCUAGUCUGAAUACAACCUUGCUGAAAAAGGCAGUUUUAUCUGCUUACAAUCGAUUAGCGUGCAUGCUGGACAUUUUAACUUAGAUAAGCUAACUCAAAUGUCUGACAGACCUGGCAAAAGAUAUGGCCAUCAGCAUACUCCCACAGAUGUUCCACUGUAAAAUGGACCAGAAACUAGAAGGUCUGUGAAGGAAGAUUUGUAAUUACAGAGGAGGGGAAGGAGAAAAAAAAAAGUAAAAUAUCAGUUUGUGAUUAUUACUGUAUGUUCCAAUCCCUCUAGAUGAAACUAAAGAGAAUGGAAGUCCCCUUACAAUCCAUUGUUUCCAAAUAAAUUUUCUGAACACUGAAGUAGAUCACAAAGGAAAUGCCCCAACAAACUACAGAAGAUGUUAAAAUCAUACGAUUUUCAGGAACACCUAAGUGUGUUUACAAAUUCCAUGCAUAUCCACUGGAUUUCUUCAAAACAGAAAGCCAUUGUGAUGCAACACAGAAAUUACUGGAGACCCAAGAAGCAGCAUGUGGAUGACAGCAGCAGUCCCAAAAGAAGUACACCACCUUAACAGCAGGCUUGAUGGUUGUUCACACAAGGAGUCUGGCCUGCAUAAUUGUAUCACUAAUAAGCAGUAAGGCAAUUAGUUGUCACAGCCUCUGUGACAGAUUUGUAGUAAGGAAGGUCUAAUAGAAGAAAUCAAGUUUUUUUGAGAAGAUCAGAGAUAAAACAGCCCAAAUCUUUGGCAAAGAAGACUGGAGUAAAAAUGUGCUUAUGAAGCUAAAGAUUUGACUGUGUGAGCAUAUCUGAAGGCAAAACUAUGUGUAUAGGAACCCUGAAAAUGGAUUUUUAGAAAUUAUUAUAAAUAUGUUUUUAAAGAGUGGAGCAUCAUCUCCCUGUCGUAUUUCCUCAAAGGAUUAAUUAUGUUUUGCCUA
Long non-coding RNA from Cygnus olor (mute swan), 1731 nucleotides. RefSeq lists it as uncharacterized. The transcript has 4 exons. The record is from RefSeq and is a predicted model, not a curated record. Lineage: Eukaryota; Metazoa; Chordata; Aves; Anseriformes; Anatidae.